UUCCUUUUAUUUCACAAUCAUCACUGUUACUCGGUUUAGAAAGUCAUGCCACGUCAGUAGCGGUGUAAACACGGGUUCUGUUAAAACUGUCAGCACACACAGCGGUCCACUUCCCACACAGCUCAUCGAUGGAAAAGUGGCCAGUUAUCAUUCGGGCAAUUGACCAAUUCACGCUAUUAGGCCAAAAGUUUGUGGACACCAGAGAACCAGGCCCGUGUGUGUGAUGAUGUGCUCUUGUGGCUGAAGGAGUAUUAUAACAGCGAAGGUGGAACACCUCAAUAUUAAUGAACCUGGUUUUGGAAUGGGAUUUCAGAACUCAGGUGUCCACAUACUUUCGGCCAUAUAGUGCAUCAAAUCUGAUUGGUCAGAAGGUGUUGAUUAAUUUUCUAUAACAGCAGCUCUGACAGUAGUGCAGCUGCACAUCACAGGUUUAUAUUAAUUCACACACACACACACACACACACACACACACACACACACACACACACACACACACACACACACACACACACAAACCCCCCUAUUCAAGAAAUCAAGAACUCACACCACUGUACAUGUCUGACAGGACGGGAACACUAGCUAAAAUCUUCAGACCUGUGUCUAAACACAAUCCAUAAACACCUUUAUCCUAAUUUAACGACUGAGUCAAUAUCCCAGAAUGCAUUACUUGUAGAAACCUAGAAAUAUUUUGUGGGGGGAAGAAACGUCGAUGAAGCGCAAAGACAGCCACGAGGCUAUGGUCACGACAGUUUCACACCUGUCCACCUGCUCAUUCACACAAUUACGCAAUCAGCCAAUCACGUGGCCGCAGCACAAUACAUAAAAUCACACAAAUACUCGACACGAGCUUCAGUUAAUGUUAUAUCAAACAUCAGAGCGGGGAAAUGUGAUCUCGGCGAUGCUGAGACUUUAUAUUCCUCUGUCCAGUUUCAGUGAACCCCUGCCCACUCAGUUAUAUAUAAACCUCAGCUCAUCUGGCACCAACGACCACGCCACUGAGCCACUGCCAUCACAUCUUCCCCGUUCUGAUGUGAGAUGUGAACAUUAACUGAAGCGAACGAGCAGGUGUUCCUGAUAAAAUGACUAACGAGAGUAUACGUUAAAACAAAGAAAAGAGGUUAUUUAUAUGGCGGUAUAAAAGUGUAACACUGUCAUUAGGAAGAAAGGAAGCCAUUAUAACAGGAGAUCAGGUCACUAAACAGUCAAGAACAGAUAACGCUGUUUGACCCUAUAUGGUUCGUAGAGUGUGCAAGUUGCGAAAGCCACAUGGUGAUGCAGAGGUUUGUCACGAACAUCCUGUUUCUCUGCACUUUCGGGUGAGUUUCUCUCAUUUGCAGUGAAUUCAGGAGAGCACACUGAGUAAAUAAUACACAACACCUGAUAUCACCAACACCAAACGUUUACUAAACAAAUCCAAGCAGAAAGGACUCUGUUCUGGAGUUUAAAACGGUUAACAGCGGUAAUCUGUUCAUCACCUACAGCACUGAAAAAGAGGAAGAGGCAGCCAGAUGUUUCAGAUAAUAUUUCUCAACAGCCAGUGAUGACAACACGUUUAUAGAUAAUGAGGAAUUACACCAGCACUCAGAGUGAUGUUUCUACGCAGUUCAGUUACCACUGGUGCAGGUUCCAAGCAGGAUCGUGGAGGUCAAUCAGGGUUCCUGAGUCAGGACAGGACCAGACUCUCAAACUGGAACUGGCUCACAGAAUAUCAUAAAUGUCUCCAAAACGCCGGAAGGCAGAGUUAACACGGGCAAACCCAUACCGUACAUCACGCCACGGUCAGAACCAGAAAUACAAGAAUAGGGUGAGGAAACAAAACCACAGAGAAAACACUGCUGGGAAAACAUGCAAUUGUGUGAAAAUACAAAGACAAAGAGUCUAAUAGGCUGGAGCAUCAGGAUAACCAGGAAGAGAGAUGAGGAACACUGAGGGGAGGGAACAGGGCCUACUACUGACUCAGAGGAAGGAUCAGGGCCUACUACUGACUCAGAGAAAGGAUCAGGGCCUACUACUGACUCAGAGGAAGGAUCAGGGUCUGUGACUGACUCAGAGGAAGGAUCAGUGGGUCUGUGACUGACUCAGAGGAAGGAUCAGGGUCUGUGACUGACUCAGAGGAAGGAUCAGGGUCUGUGGCAUAAAGCUAUUAGAAUUACCGAUGGAACAGUGUGAAACAUUUACAGUGGUUCUAUAUGUCCUUAAAUGUAAGACACGACCAAAACAAAAUUCUCAUUUUAUAAGAAGUCUUUCACUCUUUUC
Long non-coding RNA from Ictalurus punctatus (channel catfish), 2256 nucleotides. The record is from Ensembl. NCBI's taxonomy places the organism in Eukaryota, Metazoa, Chordata, Actinopteri, Siluriformes, Ictaluridae.